AACCAUUCUCACCUGCGGCUAGACCUGCGGAGGGAUCAUUACAGAGUUCGUGCCCUCGCGGGUAGAUCUCCCACCCUUGUGUAUUCUCUACAUCUUGUUGCUUUGGCAGGCCGUUGGUUCGCCAACCACCGGCUCGCGGGCUGGUGCGUGCCUGCCAGAGGACCUCUCAAACUCGGUUUGUUAGUGUCGUCUGAGUACCAUAACAAUCGUUAAAACUUUCAACAACGGAUCUCAGAUCGG
RNAcentral lists this unclassified non-coding RNA (240 nucleotides) under soil metagenome. RNAcentral's name for it is "partial contains 5.8S ribosomal RNA, internal transcribed spacer 2, and large subunit ribosomal RNA". The record is from RNAcentral.